Molecule: ribosomal RNA, 592 nt
Filed under: Ralstonia sp. N2s_34
Lineage: Bacteria; Pseudomonadati; Pseudomonadota; Betaproteobacteria; Burkholderiales; Burkholderiaceae
Description: bacterial SSU rRNA
Rfam family: Bacterial small subunit ribosomal RNA
Source: RNAcentral
UGCCGCGUGUGUGAAGAAGGCCUUCGGGUUGUAAAGCACUUUUGUCCGGAAAGAAAUGGUUCUGGUUAAUACCUGGGGUCGAUGACGGUACCGGAAGAAUAAGGACCGGCUAACUACGUGCCAGCAGCCGCGGUAAUACGUAGGGUCCAAGCGUUAAUCGGAAUUACUGGGCGUAAAGCGUGCGCAGGCGGUUGUGCAAGACCGAUGUGAAAUCCCCGAGCUUAACUUGGGAAUUGCAUUGGUGACUGCACGGCUUGAGUGGGUCAGAAGGGGGUAGAAUUCCACGUGUAGCAAUGAAAUGCGUAGAGAUGUGGAGGAAUACCGAUGGCGAAAGCAGCCCCCUGGGAUAACACUGACGCUCAUGCACGAAAGCGUGGGGAGCAAACAGGAUUAAAUACCCUGGUUGUCCACGCCCUAAACCAUGUCCACUAAUUGUUGGGGAUUCAUUUCCUUAGUAACGUAGCUUACGCGUGAAGUUGACCGCCUGGGGAGUACGGUCGCAAGAUUAAAACUCAAAGGAAUUGACGGGGACCCGCACAAGCGGUGGAUGAUGUGGAUUAAUUCGAUGCCACGCGAAAAACCUUACCUACCC